AGUGAACGCUGGCGGUAGGCCUAACACAUGCAAGUCGAACGGCAGCACAGUAAGAGCUUGCCCUUACGGGUGGCGAGUGGCGGACGGGUGAGGAAUACAUCGGAAUCUACUUUUUCGUGGGGGAUAACGUAGGGAAACUUACGCUAAUACCGCAUACGACCUACGGGUGAAAGCAGGGGAUCUUCGGACCUUGCGCGAUUGAAUGAGCCGAUGUCGGAUUAGCUAGUUGGCGGGGUAAAGGCCCACCAAGGCGACGAUCCGUAGCUGGUCUGAGAGGAUGAUCAGCCACACUGGAACUGAGACACGGUCCAGACUCCUACGGGAGGCAGCAGUGGGGAAGAUUGGACAAUGGGCGCAAGCCUGAUCCAGCCAUACCGCGUGGGUGAAGAAGGCCUUCGGGUUGUAAAGCCCUUUUGUUGGGAAAGAAAAGCAGCAGGUUAAUACCCCGCUGUUCUGACGGUACACAAAGAAUAAGCACCGGCUAACUUCGU
RNAcentral lists this ribosomal RNA (491 nucleotides) under uncultured bacterium. RNAcentral's name for it is "partial 16S ribosomal RNA". It matches the Rfam family "Bacterial small subunit ribosomal RNA", at positions 29 to 506 of the family's 1533-position model. The record is from RNAcentral.